RNAcentral lists this ribosomal RNA (253 nucleotides) under uncultured bacterium. RNAcentral describes it as "partial 16S ribosomal RNA". It matches the Rfam family "Bacterial small subunit ribosomal RNA", at positions 524 to 776 of the family's 1533-position model. The record is from RNAcentral.
UACGGAGGGUGCAAGCGUUAAUCGGAAUUACUGGGCGUAAAGCGUGCGUAGGCGGUUCGUUAAGUCUGCUGUGAAAGCCCCGGGCUCAACCUGGGAAUAGCAGUGGAUACUGGCGAGCUAGAGUGUGAUAGAGGAUGGUGGAAUUCCCGGUGUAGCGGUGAAAUGCGUAGAGAUCGGGAGGAACAUCAGUGGCGAAGGCGGCCAUCUGGAUCAACACUGACGCUGAGGCACGAAAGCGUGGGGAGCAAACAGG